Molecule: ribosomal RNA, 374 nt
Filed under: uncultured organism
Description: partial 16S ribosomal RNA
Rfam family: Bacterial small subunit ribosomal RNA
Source: RNAcentral
GGAGGGGGCGAGCGUUAUUCGGAUUUACUGGGCGUAAAGCGCACGUAGGCGGCUAGGUAUGUCAAAGGUGAAAGCCCUCGACUCAACCGAGGAACUGCCUUUGAAGCUGCUUGGCUUGAGUCCGGGAGAGGGGAGCGGAAUUCCCAGUGUAGCGGUGAAAUGCGUAGACACUGGGAGGAACACCGGUGGCGAAGGCGGCUCCCUGGACCGGCACUGACGCUGAGGUGCGAAAGCGUGAGUAGCAAACAGGAUUAGAUACCCUGGUAGUCCACGCCGUAAACGAUGGGCACUAGGUGCAGCGGGUGUCGACCCCCCUGCUGUGCCGAAGCUAACGCAUUAAGUGCCCCCGCCUGGGGAGUACGGUCGCAAGGCUG